Heterocephalus glaber (naked mole-rat) is the source of this 3969-nucleotide non-coding RNA. The record is from RefSeq and is a predicted model, not a curated record. Lineage: Eukaryota; Metazoa; Chordata; Mammalia; Rodentia; Bathyergidae.
GGUCAGCCUCCUAGGAUAGGACAUGGAACAAAGCAGACAUUGGAACAGGUGACUACCAAAUUUCCUUGGUGGAAACCAUUAGGUCACUCAGACACUUUGUGCAGGAUGGAUCCCCUAAACAUCUAUCUUAGUCCAUUUGUGCUGCUGUAUCAAAAUACUUUAGGCUUGGUAACUUAUAGACAACAGGAAUUCUUUUCUCAUUUUACAGGAAGCUGGGAAGUCCAAGAUAAAGUCCAAGAUCAAGUUUCCAACAGAUUCAGUGUUUGGUGAGAAUGUGUUUUUCAUAGAUGGCCUAAGAGUCAUCACCUGGUGAAAGAGAAUUCUAUAAGUGCAAGAAUCCUUAGGAUCCAGUCACUCCCCCCAAUAAAGUCUUAAUAUCAACACAUGGUGAACUAAAUUUGACCAUAUGAAUUUUGGAAGGACGCAAACAUUAAGCACUAAACAGGCUCUGGAGAAUGUGAAGCAGAUAAAUGUACUUAAUUUAUCACUACACAAGAAACAGCCAUGAGUCUCUCCUUUCAGUCUCUUCUGAAUUCAUGGGAAAGGUGCAGGAGAGGUACGUCUCCAGGAACCAGAAGCUCUGUCACUUAUUUAUAAUGUGUGGUUCCAUGUCCUUGUCACUCGGAGUCUUUCAGCUGAGCCACACAUUUACUUAAAGAGUGAGAAAAAGAGAGUAAGCACCACUAAGGAAAGUAGUUUGGACACAUAAAGGUAAGAAAAUUGGCACUUUUCAUCCUAAAACCUACUCAAACUAAUGCUAUAGACAGUGUAUAUUUAGUUAAACAGAAAAGCAUUGAUGGUGUCACCUCACAGCUGUCCCUACUGCCAUCACAGGAAGGGAGGCCCAGCCCAGAGGUAAAGGUCACUGGACUGACAUCUGUGGCUACACCCCAGGCCUUUUGGGUGGAGAAGGUCCCCCUCCACCUACACUGAGUCUAUUGGGGGCAAACCUUGGUUUUCCAGUCCCCUAGCAUUUCCCUGGGGAGGUAAAGAGCUACCUUGGAAGACAGGAGACAGUGGUGUCUUCCUGUGCAGACAGCAGGGCCUGAGGCCCAUCAGUGUUUGCUGUGGUCACCAGCGAUGGGUAAGACCUGCCUUUGCUGUCCUCUGGGAGCAAUUACUUUAUGUUUAUUGCAGACAUCCAUCACACCCAGGGAGGCUAUAUAAAUACAAUAUGUCACCUUUAACUGUUUGCUAAUUGAGCCGAUGCUGUGGGAUUUCCUGAUGAUCAGUUGACAUGAGAGAGAGAGAGAGAGAGGAGAGAGAGAGAGAGAGAGAGAGAGAGAGAGAGAGAGAGAGAGAGAGAGAGGAGAGAUCCAAGUAGGGACAUUGCCUAGGAGGGUUAGUUUUAGUUCCUGUCUCUAAAAUCAGGGUAGUCACCUCAAUAGGGAAAGUGAAUUGGCUAUGAAAUGAAAAGGGAAAAAUAAUUUCCACCAAAUCAGUAAGAAAGCAAGAGGAAGGAGUUGUUCACUUAAUUCUGACAACCGAGAGGCCCUGAGUCCUGGCCCUGUUGUCUCUGCUACCUCCCAAAGGCCGGUUACAAUGCUGCCUUCGAGUGGAUUAUCAGAUACAGGUGGUGUCAGUUUGGUGCGAUCAAAGGCUUCAACAUGGUGAGUGAAACUCCUAGUUUGUGAGAGAUCCCAGAUUCAAUACUUUGUCUCAUUCAAUCUCUGAGGAUUCACCUUCUGCCUGUUGUGACAGGAGAGAAAUGGAGAGUGGAGUACAGUAGGACAGACAUCUGCACUGGCUCAGGAGAAGUUCCGUCAGUCCCUACACAGGGAGAUGUUUUCAGAGAAGAACGAAGAGGCCAGGAGAGGGGAGAAACUGCUGGCUCUUGGCCCUCAGCUGGGAUUGCAAGCAAGUGUGAGCCAUGGGGACAAGAAUACAGGAUCCCCUAGAACCUCAAAGGAGCAGGAGCUGGAGCUCAGAGGAAGGAGAAAUACUAGGAAGAAGUGCUCAGGAGAUGCUCCCAAAGUGGUUUGCUCUGAAAGUUGCUUGGAGGUGGUGAUACUUGGUCAUUGGCAGGGGAAGGGAAAAAGCAUUUUCUGAGGGCUGAAGUUCAGAGGCCAAGCAGUGUCUGCUGGGGAGGGAUUUAUCCAGGCUGAUUCAGCUGCGUUUGUGCAGAGAAGUUCCCGGAGUGGGUAAAGCAUGUUGGGGCACUCAGCGACAUUAUCCUCUGGGCCGUGGGAUACCACUGGGGCCAGAGAGCUGGGCAGCUGAUAGCCUGUAUCACUGAUUAUCUGGCUCAUUUGGGGAAUCUGAGGACGGUGACUCCAUCAGCGAAUGAUGAAGGAGACAAGUUCUGGCCACAAGGGCCCGGGCAAUGUUUCUGGGAGCCCUUUGCAUUCCAUUAUAUUUCCUGUCACAAUCACCCUCGUCUCUGCCCUAGAAUGAGACUCAAAUUCUUUAAGUCCAGCUGCUUUGGACUCAACAAACUUCCCAUUGGGAAACAAUGCUUUUGAUUUUCAGUUUGACCACUAACCUUGAGCUAGGUAAUUUAUCUUGCUGAGCCUUGGAUUUCCCCCUGAACAUGGAAAUGAUAAUACCUCCUUUGCAAGUGUUAGGAUAAAUGCAAGAGUCCUGUGGAAUGUAAGGCACACAUUAGGUGCUCAACAAAUACCAGAUCCUUCUUAUUUGGUCCUUUCAAACCAGGACUAGUUUUUUUUUUACUUUAAUGGGUUCAGCAUAUCACUCAAAAUACUUCACUUAAAAACAAUCAAAGCUUACAUAAUCACCAGCCUAAGUGGUUGCAUUAGCCUGUUAUUCUGUCAUCUUUUUCCAAUAAACAAACUGUCUUCCUCUCUCUUUCCUUUCUGUGGACGGAUCUGGAGGAUUUGCAAUGUGCAAAGCAGGUGGAUUGAUCGGUUAUUGAUCGCGAGUGAAUUAUAACCCCUUCAGCUCCAGCUCCUAAAAGCCACCCUUGUUUCUUCUGCCCAUUGCCUGGGACACAGUGACAUGUGGUUGCUGAAUUGAGAGAAAUCUGAUUGAUUUGAGUUGAGCAAUUUUCCUCCACCAUGAUACUUCUGUCUUGGAGCCAGCUAAAACAGACUGAACUCUCUGAAACUGUGAGGCAAAAUAAAGCUCUCCUCCUUCAAGCUGUGGGUGUUGCGUACUUUGUCCCAAUGGGAAAGUGACUACUACAGUCUUCAGGGAUCCAAGUCGCUCAUGGGUAACAAUUACAGUGACUGAGGAUGGCAGCACAUAUGUGGUUGUGGGGGAAGCAGUAGAAGCCUACAAAUGGAACCAGGCCAGGGGAGAGGCCCAUAAGGAUGAUGAUCCCAGAGCUGCGUCCUGAAUGGAAAUUAGCUAGGUAAAAAUGGGAAGAGGGUUACUUUUUAGGGGAACAUCGCUGCGGUGUGAGAAGGAGAGAGACACUUAGGAGAUCCUCUGGCACCUCUGGGCGUAGUGGAUGGAGGUAAUGAAAGUGGAAAUGAGACAAGAACCAAAUGAAGAAAGUCUUGUAAGCCAUGCUAAGGAUAUUGGACUUUGUGUGUGAGUAACAAGAGAAAACUCCUUGAUGUGCUGUGGAGAUGAAAGGGACAGGGGAGAUGGGAGAGAGGGAGCCUAUUGAGGCCAGAAGUGAUGCUGCUCAUUUGAAAGAGAGGCAGAGGAGAGAUGAUAAAAGGUGACUGUACCUGACUGAUCAGGACAAAGGGGAGGGAAAGGCAGGAGAUAAAACUUUUAGCUUUCUGGCUUAGACGAUGGGGAAAGUGGUAACACCGUACAAAUUAGUCGCUCCAGGUGGAGAAACGCUGUGUGCCCACAGUAGACACCAAGCAAAUAUUUGUUCAAUGUAUGAACAUAUAUACAAAUAAGAGAUGAUAGCUCUUACCACAGCUAAUUUAGAAAUUCAAUGAAAUUCCAAUUAAAAAGUCCAUUAUAUGCACAUUGAGACGAUACUCUUAAGUGAAAUAAACAGGACACACAUGUGUAAAUACCUAACAGUUUCUCUAGUGUGAGAAACUGAAA